UUAACACAUGCAAGUCGAGGGGCAGCAUGGUCUUAGCUUGCUAAGGCCGAUGGCGACCGGCGCACGGGUGAGUAACGCGUAUCCAACCUGCCUUACACUCUUGGACAGCCUUCUGAAAGGGAGAUUAAUACAAGAUGUUAUCAUGAGUAAGCAUUUUCGCAUGAUUAAAGGUUUACCGGUGUAAGAUGGGGAUGCGUUCCAUUAGAUAGUAGGCGGGGUAACGGCCCACCUAGUCUUCGAUGGAUAGGGGUUCUGAGAGGAAGGUCCCCCACAUUGGAACUGAGACACGGUCCAAACUCCUACGGGAGGCAGCAGUGAGGAAUAUUGGUCAAUGGACGAGAGUCUGAACCAGCCAAGUAGCGUGAAGGAUGAAGGUUCUAUGGAUUGUAAACUUCUUUUAUACGGGAAUAAACGAAUCCACGUGUGGAUUUUUGCAUGUACCGUAUGAAUAAGGAUCGGCUAACUCCGUGCCAGCAGCCGCGGUAAUACGGAGGAUCCGAGCGUUAUCCGGAUUUAUUGGGUUUAAAGGGAGCGUAGAUGGGUUGUUAAGUCAGUUGUGAAAGUUUGCGGCUCAACCGUAAAAUUGCAAUUGAUACUGGCAGUCUUGAGUACAGUUGAGGUAGGCGGAAUUCGUGGUGUAGCGGUGAAAUGCUUAGAUAUCACGAAGAACUCCGAUUGCGAAGGCAGCUUACUAACCUGUAACUGACAUUGAUGCUCGAAAGUGUGGGUAUCAAACAGGAUUAGAUACCCUGGUAGUCCACACGGUAAACGAUGAAUACUCGCUGUAGGCGAUAUACAGUCUGCGGCCAAGCGAAAGCAUUAAGUAUUCCACCUGGGGAGUACGCCGGCAACGGUGAAACUCAAAGGAAUUGACGGGGGCCCGCACAAGCGGAGGAACAUGUGGUUUAAUUCGAUGAUACGCGAGGAACCUUACCCGGGCUUAAAUUGCAACCGAAUAUGGCGGAAACGCUAUAGCUAGCAAUAGCGGUUGUGAAGGUGCUGCAUGGUUGUCGUCAGCUCGUGCCGUGAGGUGUCGGCUUAAGUGCCAUAACGAGCGCAACCCUUGCCGAUAGUUACUAACAGGUCAUGCUGAGGACUCUGUCGGGACUGCCAUCGUAAGAUGUGAGGAAGGUGGGGAUGACGUCAAAUCAGCACGGCCCUUACGUCCGGGGCUACACACGUGUUACAAUGGGGGGUACAGAGGGCUGCUACCACGCAAGUGGAUGCCAAUCCCAAAAACCUCUCUCAGUUCGGAUUGAAGUCUGCAACCCGACUUCAUGAAGCUGGAUUCGCUAGUAAUCGCGCAUCAGCCACGGCGCGGUGAAUACGUUCCCGGGCCUUGUACACACCGCCCGUCAAGCCAUGGGAGCCGGGGGUACCUGAAGUGCGUAACCGCAAGGAGCGCCCUAGGGUAAAACUGGUGACUGGGGCUAAGUCAUA
This 1440-nucleotide ribosomal RNA is filed under the name uncultured organism. RNAcentral describes it as "SSU rRNA". It matches the Rfam family "Bacterial small subunit ribosomal RNA". The record is from RNAcentral.